GACGAACGCUGGCGGCGUGCUUAACACAUGCAAGUCGAACGAAGUGGCGAACGGGUGAGUAACGCGUAAUCAACCUGCCCUUCAGAGGGGGACAACAGUUGGAAACGAUGGCUAUUCCCCCAAACUAAAGAGGGGGAUUGCGUCGGAUUAGCUAGUGGGAGGGGUAACGGCCCACCAAGGCGAUGAUCAGUAGCCGGUCUGAGGGGAUGAACGGCCACAUUGGGACUGGGACACGGCCCAGACUCCUACGGGAGGCAGCAGUGGGGAAUCUUCCGCAAUGGACGAAAGUCUGACGGAGCAACGCCGCGUGAGUGAUGACGGCCUUCGGGUUGUAAAGCUCUGUUAAGCGGGACGCGGUACCGGAAUAGAAAGCCACGGCUAACUACGUGCCAGCAGCCGCGGUAAUUC
RNAcentral lists this ribosomal RNA (408 nucleotides) under uncultured bacterium. RNAcentral's name for it is "partial 16S ribosomal RNA". It matches the Rfam family "Bacterial small subunit ribosomal RNA", at positions 28 to 526 of the family's 1533-position model. The record is from RNAcentral.